ACAAGACACAGUCUUCGACUUGCUCCCGCCGCGCCCCGUCGAUCCCGCGGGAUCCUAAGGUAGAGCAAGGUACGCGACACGAAGUAGUUGCUAAUUUGCCGAAAUACGGAACAGUGCUUCGUGACGACGCGAGUAUCCUGUAACAACCGGAAUCGACGCGUUACGGCUCCAUCCGAAGUUUUAACUCUUUGCGGACGAAGAUUCUUUAAAGAACACAAAUCUUCAGCACAUUCGGCUAAAUUAUACAUCGGAUUCUUAAAUUAUGCACUGAUCCCUUGCUAUUCGAGUUAUUACAUCAUUCGUUCGCAACUCAGUAUUCGGAAUAUGAAAGUUUGAUCCCAGCAAACGUCGACAUUUGUCCGGAAAGGGUUAAACACGGCGUGUUCGAUAUGUGAUUGUUAAACGUAACGAUUAAAAUUGAAUAACAUCGAUUCGCCGUGUAAAUGAAACUCCAUCGACCGUAUAAGUCUGAAGUGCGUCGCGUGACAGACCAGUAUUCGGAAUAAACAGGAUUAAUUAAUAUAAUUCGCGAUAUUUUCCAAACGGGCACGAUCGCGAGAAUAAAUAAACGGUUGAUUCAAACGGAAAGUUGAGUGGAACGACGUGCAGCAAGAUGUAGGCGAUGCAGCGAGCCAGCAGCGGAAUCAAUGGAGGGCAUCAUGAGAGAAUAACGCGCGGUAAAGCAGGCGAGAUACCAACCGACAAAGUUUCCCGGAGAACAAGAUCCGGAAUAAUCCAGGAACGCGGAGCAAUACAAACGGAAAGUUUCCGCACGUGAAGAAUACCCGGGAACGAGGCUGGCGAGGCACGAGGAAAUAAGAAAGGCAGAAGAAAGGGAGGAGAUAGGGAGGAGAAAGAGGUCGAAAGGCUGAGGGACGGACCGACUGAAAGAGGAAUAACACAGAAAAUACAUUUGCCUAUCUCCAUGGGACAGACGCUCGAUUCGAAAUCGAGUCUCAAGGACAGAUCAAGUGGCACUGCAAGAGAAAUAAUAAGGGCGGAGCCAGGGAAAAGGCUAUCAGAAAAAGCAGCGAGAGGGUGCGAACGGCCAGGAACAGGGGAUUCGAGUAAUGCCGGCGAGGAGAGAAAAGCAGGAGAGCCGGCGCGCGAGCUGCAAGAAACAAAUUGCAGCGAAUGGGAGCAAGGGCGGCGAACGGCCAGCCGUCGCCAAUAAAACAGAGGGAGGAUAUGACAACGGUUCGCUGUACGAUGCAUUAUCGAAGCAAGAGGGUAUCUUUAUGCCGCACGGAAUUGCGCAGCGCAUGGCGAACUUCGCCAUAAGCUUCAUUGCGUAAUCCUGAAACAUUUUAUUGCGCGUGGGAACGAUGUACGUCAUGUACCGCAUCGGUUUUAACAAGGAUACCGGCAACGUAACUGUUUGCGCUCGUGUCUUUCAAUAAAACCGUUCCGCGAUUUAUCCAAGGUAUUCCGGACGAAACGGACUGGGAAAAACUGCCGACCACGGAUUUACGGUAAAAAUCAUCCACUCCUUUUUUACUCGAGCCGGAGGAAUCGCCGGCGUGUAUUAGACUCGAUGGAUUGGAAUGAUCUUCGGGAAUGAAAGUGUGGAAACGGUUGCGCCGACUAAUUGGAGCUAACUUUUUCGGACGCGGGUAAUUUCGAGGGGAAUUAUUCUGUGAUGCAUUGAUGAUGAAUGAUGUUCUGUAAAAUUAUUUUAAAUUGUAAAUGUCUAAUUUAGGAAAGAAUAGGGAAUUUAAUUUUUGGAUUUGUGCUGUACAUGUUUGAAAUGUUACAUUAACACUUUGCUGAAGAUUGUUGAAAGUAUGCAAAAUAGUGGAAUUAUUUUGUGAUGUUUCUCGAUUUAUUUUGAAAUGGAUCGAUUUUAUUGUAAAAUUGUAUUAAAUAGGGAAUUUUGUAAUUUCUGGAUUUGUGCUGUACAUAUUUGAAACGUUACUUAACCCUUUGCUGAAAAUUGUUGAAAGUAUGCAAAACCUUUGCAGAUUCUGAAUGAAACACUGAAUGCUUAAAUCAUAGACAACGGAGAAAGUGUAAUGAUUUCUUGAUGUUCGAGGGAUUAAAUCAUUUGUUCACGACUUGGUUUUCCAAAUACAAUUUUAUCUCGCUAGAAUGCCGACACUCACAAAGGGUUAACGUAGGAUUAGCAAUUAAACAAUAGACUAGAAACCUUGCAUUAAUGUGUUAAUGUUCAUUAACUGUAAACCUACCGAGUUUAUAGAAACUACAAGAGGAUCUACCAAAACGAUUUAUCAUUCACUUUAAUCAUUGAUCGAGAAACAUCUGAUAUCUAAUAACUCUCCAAUGAAGAAGUCUAUUAUAAAUUACAUGAUAAUAACCGUGUUCAUGCGAACAGCGUUUAAGUCGAUAAUUCAGGACCCAAAAUUACGCAGCACCCCACUCGAGGAUAUCGGUUAAUAGAUUAGUGUCGCCAUUCCGUUGCGCGUGGGCGUAUAAUGCAUCAAUUGCUAUUGAGAAGGGCGCGACUAGAUUGUUUCCCUCCCUCUGUUAUUUUCCAGCCCUAAUCGAAUCCUUCGAGGAAAGUCCUCGAAGGCAAACAUGCGAGCAAUAAACGCGCAGUUCUAGAUACGCGGCGGACCGAAUUCAACGAGUUAAUCGUUUAUUCCGUUUUAUGGGGGGCAAGGCAGAGAAUGGGGAGUUCUGGGGUCGCUGCGUCAUUCUGGGGCUACAGAAAAUUCUAAGGCGCGAGUUCUUGUCGCGAAUGCGACGAGAACGAUGGAAGAUACGAGGAAUCGACCAUUUUUGCUAUCGUUCCUCCAGUUCACGUGGAAGGGAAACAUCGGUUCAUCUGUGAACUUGGCCCUUUGCACAGGGGUGACUCUCGGUCACUUGAUUCGAUACAAGGUGAGUUGAAUAUUUAUUUUAAAUGGAACUUUGCACUGCUUUGUGAACUAUUUAAAUAGAAUUGUUAGAUUGGUUUCAAACUUUGAUUGAAUAUUUAUAGUGAAAAAUACUGCAAUAAAUAAACAAACCAUUUCUUUCGCUACUGUGAAAUUCAUUCACCAUUGUACAUCAACCGCUCGCGACCGGUGCCGACAAGAUGGCGACACUUCGUUCUCGACUGGUACCAAGAUGGCGGCAUCUUGGUUCCUGAGUGCGUUUUACGAUAGAGAGGUAUUGUUUCUUAAUCUUUACAGUGUUUAUAUUCAACAAAUCUUUAAUAUCUAUGUAUCUGUUAUAAUCCACCUCUAGAAGAAUAACUUUGAAAGUAUAUAUAUCUGCUUCGACUAGCUGGUAAUGUCGCCAGAAAAAUCUACCGAUCGUAAGAGGUUAAUGACGGUCAUUAACCUCUAUAGAAACUCUAAGAGCGCAUCUAUCGAGACUUUAAUCGAUUUAUCAUUCAGUUCGAACGUUGAUAAAUCAAUUGAAUAAUUUCUCAGAGAAACAUCUGUUAUCUAAUGAUCGUGCAAUGAAGAAUGGACGUUUUGCCCAAUGUUGCUCUUUAACACUGGAACCAUUCACACGUUCGCAACGGGAUGUACCACCGGUGGUACAUGCGUCCAG
Long non-coding RNA from Nomia melanderi (Alkali bee), 3501 nucleotides. RefSeq lists it as uncharacterized. The record is from RefSeq and is a predicted model, not a curated record. Lineage: Eukaryota; Metazoa; Arthropoda; Insecta; Hymenoptera; Halictidae.